This is a non-coding RNA of Caenorhabditis elegans, 129 nucleotides long. Lineage: Eukaryota; Metazoa; Nematoda; Chromadorea; Rhabditida; Rhabditidae. The record is from Ensembl.
GAACUCCGUGAUUGGAGAAAAUUAAAGGAGGACUAACGGUUCGGACGAUUUUGAACGUAUAGACCCAAAAUGAGCUCAAAUGAAUGAAUUUCGUAAUGAAACUGCUCAAAAAUUUUUAUGGCGGUUCAA